Non-coding RNA from Mesocricetus auratus (golden hamster), 125 nucleotides. NCBI's taxonomy places the organism in Eukaryota, Metazoa, Chordata, Mammalia, Rodentia, Cricetidae. The record is from Rfam.
CUAUAUGCCCAUACCACCUUGAAUGCACCCAAUCUUUUCUGGUCUCGGAAGCUAAGCAGGGUCGGGCCUGGGUAGUACUUGGAUGGGAGCCAUUUAUUUCCUGUGUGAUGCUGGUGUCAAGUUUA